GAUGAACGCUGGCGGCGUGCUUAACACAUGCAAGUCGAACGAAGCAUUUGCGACAGAUUUUUUCGGAAUGAAGUUGCUUAUGACUGAGUGGCGGACGGGUGAGUAACGCGUGGGUAACCUGCCUUGUACUGGGGGAUAGCAGCUGGAAACGGCUGGUAAUACCGCAUAAGCGCACAAUGUUGCAUGACAUGGUGUGAAAAACUCCGGUGGUAUAAGAUGGACCCGCGUCUGAUUAGCUAGUUGGUGAGAUAACAGCCCACCAAGGCGACGAUCAGUAGCCGACCUGAGAGGGUGACCGGUCAUAUUGGGACUGAGACACGGCCCAGACUCCUACGGGAGGCAGCAGUGGGGAAUAUUGCACAAUGGAGGAAACUCUGAUGCAGCGACGCCGCGUGAGUGAAGAAGUAAUUCGUUAUGUAAAGCUCUAUCAGCAGGGAAGAUAGUGACGGUACCUGACUAAGAAGCGCCGGCUAAAUACGUG
Molecule: ribosomal RNA, 481 nt
Filed under: uncultured bacterium
Lineage: Bacteria
Description: partial 16S ribosomal RNA
Rfam family: Bacterial small subunit ribosomal RNA
Source: RNAcentral